RNAcentral lists this ribosomal RNA (253 nucleotides) under uncultured bacterium. RNAcentral describes it as "partial 16S ribosomal RNA". It matches the Rfam family "Bacterial small subunit ribosomal RNA", at positions 524 to 776 of the family's 1533-position model. The record is from RNAcentral.
UACGUAGGGUGCGAGCGUUAAUCGGAAUUACUGGGCGUAAAGCGUGCGCAGGCGGUUUUGGAAGCCAGAGGUGAAAUCCCCGGGCUUAACCUGGGAAUGGCAUUUGGGACUGCAAGGCUGGAGUUUGGCAGAGGAGACUGGAAUUCCUGGUGUAGCAGUGAAAUGCGUAGAUAUCAGGAGGAAUACCGAUGGCGAAGGCAGGUCUCUGGGCUAUAACUGACGCUCAUGCACGAAAGCGUGGGGAGCAAACAGG